ACCUAACUGGCUCAGUCAGUAAAGUGUGUGACUCUUGAUCUUGGGGUUGUGGAUUCGAGCCCCAUGUUGGGUG
Molecule: transfer RNA, 73 nt
Filed under: Felis catus (domestic cat)
Lineage: Eukaryota; Metazoa; Chordata; Mammalia; Carnivora; Felidae
Rfam family: tRNA
About the family: Transfer RNA (tRNA) molecules are approximately 80 nucleotides in length. Their secondary structure includes four short double-helical elements and three loops (D, anti-codon, and T loops). Further hydrogen bonds mediate the characteristic L-shaped molecular structure. tRNAs have two regions of fundamental functional importance: the anti-codon, which is responsible for specific mRNA codon recognition, and the 3' end, to which the tRNAs corresponding amino acid is attached (by aminoacyl-tRNA synthetases). tRNAs cope with the degeneracy of the genetic code in two manners: having more than one tRNA (with a specific anti-codon) for a particular amino acid; and 'wobble' base-pairing, i.e. permitting non-standard base-pairing at the 3rd anti-codon position.
Source: Rfam by way of RNAcentral